Molecule: ribosomal RNA, 484 nt
Filed under: uncultured bacterium
Lineage: Bacteria
Description: partial 16S ribosomal RNA
Rfam family: Bacterial small subunit ribosomal RNA
Source: RNAcentral
AUUGAACGCUGGCGGCAUGCUUUACACAUGCAAGUCGAACGGCAGCGCGGGCUUCGGCCUGGCGGCGAGUGGCGAACGGGUGAGUAAUACAUCGGAACGUGCCCAGUAGUGGGGGAUAGCUCGGCGAAAGCCGGAUUAAUACCGCAUACGACCUGAGGGUGAAAGCGGGGGAUCUUCGGACCUCGCGCUAUUGGAGCGACCGAUGGCAGAUUAGCUAGUUGGUGGGGUAAAGGCCUACCAAGGCGACGAUCUGUAGCUGGUCUGAGAGGACGACCAGCCACACUGGGACUGAGACACGGCCCAGACUCCUACGGGAGGCAGCAGUGGGGAAUUUUGGACAAUGGGCGAAAGCCUGAUCCAGCAAUGCCGCGUGCGUGAUGAAGGCCUUCGGGUUGUAAAGCACUUUUGGCGGGAACGAAAAGGACUGUGCCAAUACCACGGUUCGAUGACGGUACCCGCAGAAUAAGCACCGGCUAACUACGUG